This 662-nucleotide ribosomal RNA is filed under the name uncultured archaeon. RNAcentral's name for it is "bacterial SSU rRNA". It matches the Rfam family "Archaeal small subunit ribosomal RNA", at positions 82 to 726 of the family's 1478-position model. The record is from RNAcentral.
CGCACAGCUCACUAGCACGUGGCUAACCUACCCUCAGGACGGAAACAUCCCCGGGAAACUGGGGUUAAUGUCCGAUAGGUGAAGAACCCUGGAAUGGGUUUUCGCUCAAAGGGCGUUUAGAUCAUGCUUCUAAGCGUUGCCUAAGGAUGGGGCCGCGGCCGAUCAGGUUGUUGGUGAGGUAACGGCUCACCAAGCCUUUAACCGGUGCGGGCCGUGGGAGCGGGAGCCCGGAGAUGGGCACUGAGACAAGGGCCCAGGCCCUACGGGGCGCAGCAGUCGCGAAAACUUCGCAAUAAGCGAAAGCUUGACGGGGCCAUCCCGAGUGCCAUCCGCUGAGGAUGGCUUUUCCCUAGUAUAGAUAGCUGGGGGAAUAAGGAGAGGGCAAGUCUGGUGUCAGCCGCCGCGGUAAUACCAGCUCUCCGAGUGGUGUGGAUGAUUAUUGGGCCUGAAGCAUCCGUAGCUGGCUGGACAAGUCCCCUGUUAAAUCCAGCGAUCCAAUCGUUGGCGUGCGGGGGAUACUGUUCGGCUAGGGGGCGAUAGAGGCCGUCGGUAUUCUCGGGGUAGGGGUGAAAUCCUAUAAUCCCGGGAAAACCACCAAUGGCGAAGGCUGUCGGCUAUAACGCGCCCGACGGUGACGGAUGAAAAGCCGGGGGAGCGAACCC